UGCCCYACAGUUYCUCGCCCUGGAACAAGGAAGCCGGUAUCAGGCACAUCCUAUUGAGCCCAUGAYGCCUUGCUUAGCCACACCCUCAAGGGAACUCAGCAGUGAUAAACAUUAAGCCAUAAGUGAAAGCUUGACUUAGUUAAGGUUAAGAGGGCCGGUAAAACUCGUGCCAGCCACCGCGGUUAUACGAGAGGCCCAAGUUGAUGGCCAUCGGCGUAAAGCGUGGUUAAAUUAAAACUCACACUAAAGCAAAACAUCUUCAAGACUGUUAUACGUAACCGAAGACAGGAAGUUCAACCACGAAAGUGGCUUUAUUUGAUUUGAAUCCACGAAAGCUAAGGAACAAACUGGGAUUAGAUACCCCACUAUGCCUAGCCCUAAACAUUGAUAGUACUACACACCCACUAUCCGCCCGGGAACUACGAGCAAUAGCUUAAAACCCAAAGGACUUGGCGGUGCUUUAGAUCCACCUAGAGGAGCCUGUUCUAGAACCGAUANCCCCCGUUYAACCUCACCCUUCCUUGUUUAUCCCGCCUAUAUACCGCCGUCGUCAGCUUA
Molecule: ribosomal RNA, 558 nt
Filed under: Hypsagonus quadricornis
Lineage: Eukaryota; Metazoa; Chordata; Actinopteri; Perciformes; Agonidae
Description: partial 12S ribosomal RNA
Rfam family: Bacterial small subunit ribosomal RNA
Source: RNAcentral